Long non-coding RNA from Monopterus albus (swamp eel), 353 nucleotides. RefSeq lists it as uncharacterized. The transcript has 3 exons. The record is from RefSeq and is a predicted model, not a curated record. Lineage: Eukaryota; Metazoa; Chordata; Actinopteri; Synbranchiformes; Synbranchidae.
UCAUUAAAUAGCCAUGGAGAAAAAAAAUAGAAAACAAUUGUGGAUGAAAUCUUGGCAGAGAAGAAAAAAUCAACACAGCUUACACAUCUUGCAGCACAAGCUGGAGUGUACAUCUCGAACCACAGAAGGAAAAAGUGAGGACAUCAGCUUGUUCUGACCUACCAACCAAAACCCAGUAACUAUAUUUAAUCAACAUUAAGAUCACAGUCGUUCAUGACUUGGAGGUGUCAGGGACCAGGAGAAGAGUGUGUGUGAUAUCGGCAGCUUGUAUUCAGAAAAGAAGAUAGGGUUUGAAACGACCCUGGACCUGUCUGUGGGUCACACAGAGAGGGCAGCCGCUGACGUCUCUCCUU